ACUAACUAGGAUUCCCUUAGUAGCUGCGAGCGAACAGGGAAAAGCCCAGCACUAAAUCCUGCGGCCGGUCUACGGACGCUGGGAAAUGUAGUGUUUGGGAGUGUCCAUUAUCCCGAGAUUGUAUGGUGCGUUCAAGUCCUUCUUGAACGAGGCCAAUUACCCAUAGAGGGUGCCAGGCCCGUAGUGACCACUGUCGAUCGCGGGAGGACAUCUCUCUAGAGUCGGGUUGCUUGAGAGUGCAGCCCUAAGUGGGUGGUAAACUCCAUCUAAGGCUAAAUAUGACCACGAGACCGAUAGCGAACAAGUACCGUGAGGGAAAGUUGAAAAGAACUUUGAAGAGAGAGUUCAAUAGUACGUGAAACCGUUCAGGGGUAAACCUGAGAAACCCGAAAGAUCGAAUGGGAAGAUUCAGCGCGUUUCGGCGUGACGAGUGGCGUUCUGUUGAUGGGUCGGCUCGCAAGAGUCGGUUCGCUGGUUCGACGCCGUUGCGUUGGAAUGCGUGCACUUCUUCCCUAGUAGGACGUCGCGACCCGUUGGGUGUCGGUCUACGGCUCGCGGUGGAGCCCGUGCAUACGGCUUUACGGUCGUCUCAUGUGCGGACCCGUGAUGUUCCGGCCGACUCGCCCGACGGUAAGACAAAGACGGAGAGKCCGCAACCAUUGCGUGUUGCGUUCGGCUUGUUGCAAGCGCGAACGGUUCUUACCCGACGUUCGGACUUAGUGCCGGCGGCGGGCCCGUUCGGCUGCUGGUAGCAAUGUUCUCGAACAGACUCUGUAAGCGUCGGUCGGCGACGCUCUAGCUUUGGGUACUUUCAGGACCCGUCUUGAAACACGGACCAAGGAGUCUAGCAUGUGCGCGAGUCAUUGGGAUGAGCAAAACCUAAAGGCGAAAUGAAAGUGAAGGCGCCGCCUUGUGCGUGUGCCUAGGGAGGAUGGGUCGUACUUUGUUGCGGCCCCGCACUCCCGGGGCGUCUCGUUCUCAUUGCGAGAUGAGGCGCACCUAGAGCGUACACGCUGGGACCCGAAAGAUGGUGAACUAUGCCUGGUCAGGACGAAGUCAGGGGAAACCCUGAUGGAGGUCCGUAGCGAUUCUGACGUGCAAAUCGAUCGUCGGAACUGGGUAUAGGGGCGAAAGACUAAUCGAACCAUCUAGUAGCUGGUUCCCUCCGAAGUUUCCCUCAGGAUAGCUGGCGCUCGUUGUUGCGAGUCUCAUCCGGUAAAGCGAAUGAUUAGAGGCAUUGGGGUCGAAACGGCCUCAACCUAUUCUCAAACUUUAAAUGGGUGAGAUCUCCGGCUUGCUUGAGUAGUGAAGCCGCGAGAUUCGGAUCAGAG
RNAcentral lists this ribosomal RNA (1331 nucleotides) under Habrocerus capillaricornis. Its description in RNAcentral is "eukaryotic LSU rRNA". It matches the Rfam family "Eukaryotic large subunit ribosomal RNA", at positions 64 to 1119 of the family's 3401-position model. The record is from RNAcentral. Lineage: Eukaryota; Metazoa; Arthropoda; Insecta; Coleoptera; Staphylinidae.